UUUCACUUUGCAGCGGGUCAUUCAGCUCUUUGGGCUCACUCACUGCAGGUCAUUUGAACUGUGUGCUGCUGCUUAAAGAUGCGGAUUUUGUUUGUUCACAUGACAUAGAGUAGAGAAGGGCACAUGAGCUAAGAAGAUGAGCUGGAUCAUUCAUAUUUCCAUUGAGGUUAGUACUAUCACGCACAGGGGAAGACCACAGCACUGCAAUCAGGCAACGCAGACAGAACACCACAAACUGCUUCAAAGACGUUUCAACAUGGAAGCAAGAGGUCCUAGACGCAGCCCUCAAAUUCUACUUUCUGAUGAUGACAGUGGUCUGUGGAUGAAGAUGGAUUCAAACCAUGUGAGCAACCACACAGAGAAUUUUUCAGCGACCUCUGAAGACAAAAUCACAACGAUCUCUGCUGCUCCCACUGCUAUAAUGAGGUACUACAGUGUGAUGGAUGAUGAAGGUGCAGAUGAUGUCUUCAUCCCUCAACCACCUCCUCCACCUCGCACGGCUACAUCGCUGCCAGCAGAGAAAAGCACAGGUGCAACAGCAAGUAAGUCUGGUGUGACCCUUUCAGUUGACGCAACAGAGGCUGAAGCUAAUCCAAGAGGCUUAGACUUGUCUCAUAGUGAGGAGCAGUUAAUGGUAGCACGAAACGAGCUGGAUGAAGAGGUGACUGCAAGUGCAGUGCAGUUGUCUAUGGCCAACAUAUCCAAUGAACAAGACUCCUCUCCACCAACUUAUCAAGAACAACAAUCCAUGGAUGUGACUGGUUGUCUGAUGGAAACUGGUUAUGAUACAGAUCGAAGACCUUACGGGAAUAACGCAACAGAGAAUGACAAACCAGAGGACAUUGUAAUUAUAAGUGAAGAACAGGGAAACUGCUGGGAAGCCAAUACGGAGGAAGACAGUUACCCAAAACAAACACAUUCAAACCACAGAGAAGACUCUGAGAAUCAGAUCCAUUUAGACAAAGACGGAGACAAAAUAAAACACAAGGACAUUGGUGAUUUUGAUGAAACAGACUUAAAACUAUUAAGAGAAAGUAUAGCUAUCGAGAGUGUGGAGGCAAAUUCCGAUGAUGAUUUCAAGCUCUGUAAAUGCAACCAAAACAGGACCGAUACAGCAACCAGUCAGGCACAGGCUGCUGACUUCCAAACAGAUACGGACAAAGACAAUGAAGAGCAUGAUGACCGUACAUCUUUGGAUUAUAACCUCAUAAAGUGCGACUGUGUGAGGAAAGAAAGCGGCAGCACAGAAAUGCAAGUGCUAUCCAGCUCCAAAGGUUCUGAAGAAAGAGAGACAAUGGGGGAGCAAGAGGAUGGAAGCAGGAAAAUAUCUACUGAUAUCCAACAAGGUGAGCAACUGCUUCAUCGUCUGCAGCUGGUACAGCUACGACAUGAUGUGAAAAUGUCAGAGAACGCUGAUACCCAACAGCAGGCUGUCAUGAUGGAUGAAAAAAAGGGCAUGUUUGGGACUGAAACAGAGAAUAUACCUAGUGAAGAAGAGAGGGAAGAAGGCAGAUUCGAAACUCUUAAGGAAGAUGAAGAAAAGGUGAGCCUGAUGGAAAAGGAAAAUAAUGAGGACAAAGACAUUCAAACAAGAGCAAGGACAUCUUCAUCCACAAUUCCAGGAGAGUCAGAAGAAGACCAGAGGGUUGUCAGAAUAGAUCCGAGUGACUCUAAUGACAAUCAGAGUGAUAGCUGGGAGCCUACAGAUUUGACUCCCAGUAAUCCUCAUGAAACUUCUAAUGAAAUUCCAUUUCUUUCCACUGGACACCGAUUUUCAGCUGCUGAAACCUACAUGGAGAGGCAGCUCCAUGAGGCAGCCCAGGGGAAGCAGAAGCUGCAGAGAGCUGGAGGUGUUUUCAAUCUUGCAGAAAAUCCAGAUGUGCUGGAGAUUCCCUUUAAAACAGAUAUCUCUCUUGAGUCACUCACUACCAAGGUAGGUACAAGCCAAUGCAACGAGUGGCAAUUCUCUGAACAGAAGAUGCUCAAAGAGAUAAGUCAGGAUAUUCAGAGAGAACUAGUGCUGGUCAAUCAAGGUAAAAUCCCAGGGGGGUACAGCAAAGGAGAGAUCCGCCAGUUAAAAGAGACAAAACUGCUGUUUGAAGCCUUCCAGCAGGACAAUCCGGAGGGUCCAACAAGACACCGUAAAUCCCCCACAACUCUGAGGAAAGGUCACAUUUACCCUUCAGUGCUAGAGCGCACACGUAGCCUUGAGAUGUUUUCCCUCAAAACUUGUCCUGUUUCCAGAGCACAUUCCCUCAGGCUGUACCAAUCUGCAAAUCUUGAGAAGGAAAAAAGUCCUGACAGCAUCAGAUCAAAGAGCCCAACUGGAGGGUCACGAGACAAAACUCGCUUAUCCCCUUACCCAAAACAAGACAAAAACAUUCGCCUGUACAGAAGCAUGGACUCUAUAAGCAAUGACUUCUCUACGUUAGCUGUGGAGGGUAAAGCAAAGGCAGCAAAUGCAAACAAAGAGUCUUCAAUCCUCAAGCAAAACCCAUUCUUCAAAUUGCGCCCAGCCCUGGCUCUACAACCAGAGGUAGAGAAGGACAUCCGAGAAGCCAAAGAAAGAGAAGAGGAGCUGCGCAAGCAGAGACGCAGUCUGUAUGGAGAGAAGAGACAGAAUAGUGAAGAUGAACAAAAGUCACAAACACUCCCAACAGGUUAGUAUGCACCUGUUUAACAUCAGUUUUAUACUACUUAGCAAAGUUCUUAACCUCCUAAGACCUGAACUUUCAUGGCAUGCAUUUUUAAUUUCUUUAUGCUAUUUGGGCUGAUUGGGACCUGAUAAUUGUAAAAACAAAGAAUUACCAUAUUUUCUUUUACCUGAUUUUUGUUUCUGAGAAAAAUGACAUUCACAUAUGAGGACAUUUGUUUUAAAUUUCGAUAGAAUAGUGGCAGUAUAAUGUCCUCGUAAGUGGAUAUCAGGCCCUUGUAGAGCAAAAUUUUGUAUUUUAGUCUAGACAUAUAUGGACGCCAAGUCCUAGGAGGUUAAGGACAGCUUUUUAUACUAUUUACUGAGGAACAUUACUAUAUAAUAUAAUUUUGGCAUGAUUUGACUUUUACUCGACUAAAGAAUACUCCAAAGUUUUCACAGAAAAAUAUACUUUUUACUUGACUACAACUAUUUGACAUGUGAGUGCCUUCCAUCAGUGAUAAGCAAUUGCAUGAGCUCUAACCUAAUUUGCUCAUUUAGCUAAACAUUGCUGACAAUGUGAAGCAUAAGAUCUCUAAAAUCCCAUCAAGGGAAAACAAGAGCCAAUUCGGUCUUUAUUCAUCCCACAUGCCUUUUGACACUUAGUCUGAACACUUUAAUGAAUGCUUCUCAACAUUAGCAUCACAUAGUUUUAUCCCAGACAUGUUAUCAACAACUCACUGUCAUUCCUGUCACUGAUGGUUAAGGACACAUCAUGCUGUCAGCUGUCUAAUCUAAACGUUGGCUGAGGGAGAACAUGAAUGGCACUACCUGGAAAAUUCUAGUUUGGUUAUAGCCUGGUGCAAAUAAAAAUCAGUUCAGCCCGCUGAAAUACCUAUUUGAAAGAACUAUAUGAAGUGUAGCUUGUGUGCAUUUUUUUCUCCUGUUGCAUGAGAACUCAGAAAUCAAGGGAGUGUGUCAAUAAGUAUCACCAUGUUAGAAUUUAGUCAUCAGCAGCUGUUGUUGAAGAUUGAGUUGAUUCCAGGUCAUGCUGACAAAGCUACAAAUGUCAGUAAUAUGUGGAAGCAAGAAAGAGUCAUUCCUAAGGUCAAAGAAGCUGUUUUGUGUUACCCUAAACAUUUACAAGAGGAAACUUUGUACUUGUUUAACCCAGAUACACUGAUAAAGCCCGACAAGCAAAAAAUUUCACGCUGAAAAUAUUAACGUGAUUUGAAAAAUAAUACAAAAUAAGCCUAGAAUCCUUUACGUGCAUAUCAAAAACAAAGGUUUGUGAAACAUUUUUGAAAGAAUCUGUCGUUCUAAAGUGCUCACUUCCCUCCUAGAUAUGUAAGUGGUAUCAUUGCAAUGUACAAGCGUCCAGCUGAAUUUGUGAUUGCUAUACAUAUAGUAUGCUAAAUGAAUGACACCGAAGUUGCGUGUGUCUGGGAAAGCAUUGGUAUCUUUGCUAUUUGCUGAGCCAUUUAGAAGGCAUGGAAAUAAAGAAGCUCAAUUACUUACUGUCAUUACAAUAGAACUGUGUAGAUUCUCAGAACUACCCUAAAACUUCUAAAAUCAGUCUAAGCAGUAGAGAGCUGCUAAUCUUACCAAAUAUAGUAGCUUAGCUACUGAGCUACUUAGUUGUUCUUUUUCUCUUUCUGUCCUACAGACAGCAGGAAACAGUCACGGGGGAAACUGGAGCGGGUUUGGCCACCUCCUUCUAAAAAGGACCAGAUAAAACUGGAGCAGAUAGAGCAGGAGCCAAAAGUUCACCGAGCAGGAGGACAGAAAGCUUCUCUCUGGCAACGCUGGGAGUCCGGCCUGAUCAAUGGGAAGCCGUCAAAAGAAAAGAAGUGAUGUUAUAUGUCCUGGUUCUUGAACACUACAAACAGAAUAUCAGGGACUAGACCAGCACUAGACUUAUAGUCAAAAUAACCCAAAUUGUUAUGCUAGUCCCAGCUUCAAUACUUCCUCGCUCUUUUAACUCUGCUUUGUAUCUGUGACAAAUAUGCUUUUUUGUAUCUUUAUUAUUAUUUUAAAAAAAAAAUAACAAUACCAGUCCAUAGAUUAUGUUAGGAAAAACUCUUGGACCAAAACAGCCACUGUUCCAGCUGGUCCAGGAAAUGACUUUGUUAGAAUGCUGGCUAGCAUUAGCAGCUACUUCCUGAGAACCCUGGCUAGCAUUAGCAGCAGCUUCCUGCUCUGUCAGAUUUAGAAAGGUUUACACUUUCAGUUGACAGUUCAACAAAAGAAGGGUCCAAUCUUAUGGAACAACAUGGUUUAUACUUUUUUAAAAAUAAAUAAAUAUUGUACCAUAAACACAACUGUCAGUUAUGUAGACAACACUAUAAAACUAUUUAAGCUAGCCUACUUGUAUGGGGGAAAAAAACUCACAAAAUAUCCUUUGUGAAUGUAGCAUGCCUAAAUCUUCAAGGGUUAACUUAGCAAGAACAAGCAAUAUGAAUAAGAAUUAAAUGAUGGGAUGUAUGGGAUAUAUUCUUGACAAUAUUAAUAAAAGACCAAGCUGCUUCACACUUUUUUUUAGCUUUGGUGAGCCUCUUGGUUUAUGAAAGUCUAUUUCCAAAAUGCCUCUAAGCAGGUUUCAUAGGUUGGAUGCACUGGUUCUGGCUGCUCCAGUCACUGUACAAUGUCUGAAGGGACUCUUUACUAAGCCACUCUUACUCUUGGAUUUACUCUGAGGCCACACAGAGGAGAUUACACUGAUCACAGCUGCUUUUUUCUGUAUAGCUUGAUGUAUCAUUUGUGGGUUUUGUUGCAUAUUUUCUAACAAGCCUAAAGAUCAUCCAAAGACCAGAAAAUCCUAAAUGGAGAAUAAUGAUUAUUUAAAAUAAAUUUACACCACUUAAUCCAUUGAACUGGAAUGUUUUGAUGCCCUCUAGAGGUUGUUUCAUCUUGGAGUUGAUUCCAAAUUCAAGCUGGUUAAAUAGAAUUAAAGAGAAUAGAAUCAAAGAAGAUAAACUUAACAAAGGCUUUAUUGAUUGGCCUGCAGUCACGUUUACAAGGGAGCACCUGGUUUCUAAUCUCUACAGAGACAGAAGUACACAGCUUAGCCUGUCUAAGUACCAUCUGCCACCCCCACUGAGUCUGCCAAAAGAGGAAAGACUUUCACUCUGCCCUUCCUGGCUUGGAUAUCCCAGUGUUAAUUGGCUACCACUGUCAUCAUCCUAUGAGCAAUAAGCAGUGCCAAGGCCAAGGUAUCAGUGGUUUGCAUUUUAACAUAGAUACAUUAAACAUCUAUAACAUCCAAAAAUGUUGGCCUUUGAAAGUGUUUACACAUGCAUGAAGCCCGCCUUUAUCUGGUUGGGUCUGGAUCUGUAAGAGCGAGUGGCUGUACUUGUUUGUCAAUGGCACCAUUUGACACAAAUAUUUAGGACACUUCUCAAACUGAAACCUUUUGCUUUAUGCAGUAUUUAAAUGUACUUAUUAGUAAUUACACAUUUUCCUUUUCCAAGACCUCUGGGUGUGCUCACAUGUAGCGCAUGUCCUGGGAAUAAAUUGCAAUGUUUGGGUGUGAUGUAUGGAAAUAUGGGGACAUUUUGAGUUGUUAGUCUGUUUUUGAGCUUAUGUUAGACGUGAUGUCUAAUGUAAAAAAAAUAAAAUAAAAUACACUCAUCUGCCAAUCCAUUAGGUACCUAUUUUACAGCUUGUUAACACAAAUAUAUAAUCAGCCAAAUACAUGACAGAAACUCC
Long non-coding RNA from Astatotilapia calliptera (eastern happy), 6340 nucleotides. Lineage: Eukaryota; Metazoa; Chordata; Actinopteri; Cichliformes; Cichlidae. The record is from Ensembl.